AACGAACGCUGGCGGCAGGCUUAACACAUGCAAGUCGAACGCCCCGCAAGGGGAGUGGCAGACGGGUGAGUAACGCGUGGGAACAUACCCUUUUCUCAGGAAUAGCUCUGGGAAACUGGAAUUAAUACCGUAUACGCCCUACGGGGGAAAGAUUUAUCGGGGAAGGAUUGGCCCGCGUUGGAUUAGCUAGUUGGUGGGGUAAAGGCCUACCAAGGCGACGAUCCAUAGCUGGUCUGAGAGGAUGAUCAGCCACAUUGGGACUGAGACACGGCCCAAACUCCUACGGGAGGCAGCAGUGGGGAAUAUUGGACAAUGGGCGCAAGCCUGAUCCAGCCAUGCCGCGUGAGUGAUGAAGGCCUUAGGGUUGUAAAGCUCUUUCACCGAUGAAGAUAAUGACGGUAGUCGGAGAAGAAGCCCCGGCUAACUUCGUGCCAGCAGCCGCAGUAA
Molecule: ribosomal RNA, 447 nt
Filed under: uncultured bacterium
Lineage: Bacteria
Description: partial 16S ribosomal RNA
Rfam family: Bacterial small subunit ribosomal RNA
Source: RNAcentral